Molecule: ribosomal RNA, 447 nt
Filed under: uncultured bacterium
Lineage: Bacteria
Description: bacterial SSU rRNA
Rfam family: Bacterial small subunit ribosomal RNA
Source: RNAcentral
AACCAGACUCCUACGGGAGGCAGCAGUCGGGAAUAUUGCGCAAUGGAGGAAACUCUGACGCAGUGACGCCGCGUAUAGGAAGAAGGUUUUCGGAUUGUAAACUAUUGUCGUUAGGGAAGAUAAAAGACAGUACCUAAGGAGGAAGCUCCGGCUAACUACGUGCCAGCAGCCGCGGUAAUACGUAGGGAGCAAGCGUUAUCCGGAUUUAUUGGGUGUAAAGGGUGCGUAGACGGGAAAUUAAGUUAGUUGUGAAAUCCCGCGGCUCAACUGAGGAACUGCAACUAAAACUGAUUUUCUUGAGUGCAGGAGAGGUAAGUGGAAUUCCUAGUGUAGCGGUGAAAUGCGUAGAUAUUAGGAGGAACACCGGUGGCGAAGGCGGCUUACUGGACUGUAACUGACGUUGAGGCUCGAAAGCGUGGGGAGCAAACAGGAUUAGAUACCCGUGUA